CUUGCUUCUCUUGAGAGCGGCGGACGGGUGAGUAAUGCCUAGGAAUCUGCCUGGUAGUGGGGGAUAACGUUCGGAAACGGACGCUAAUACCGCAUACGUCCUACGGGAGAAAGCAGGGGACCUUCGGGCCUUGCGCUAUCAGAUGAGCCUAGGUCGGAUUAGCUAGUUGGUGGGGUAAUGGCUCACCAAGGCGACGAUCCGUAACUGGUCUGAGAGGAUGAUCAGUCACACUGGAACUGAGACACGGUCCAGACUCCUACGGGAGGCAGCAGUGGGGAAUAUUGGACAAUGGGCGAAAGCCUGAUCCAGCCAUGCCGCGUGUGUGAAGAAGGUCUUCGGAUUGUAAAGCACUUUAAGUUGGGAGGAAGGGUUGUAGAUUAAUACUCUGCAAUUUUGACGUUACCGACAGAAUAAGCACCGGCUAACUCUGUGCCAGCAGCCGCGGUAAUACAGAGGGUGCAAGCGUUAAUCGGAAUUACUGGGCGUAAAGCGCGCGUAGGUGGUUUGUUAAGUUGGAUGUGAAAUCCCCGGGCUCAACCCUGGGAACUGCAUUCAAGACUGACUGAACUAGAGUAUGGUAGAGGGGUGGUGGAAUUCC
RNAcentral lists this ribosomal RNA (598 nucleotides) under uncultured bacterium. RNAcentral's name for it is "bacterial SSU rRNA". It matches the Rfam family "Bacterial small subunit ribosomal RNA", at positions 79 to 670 of the family's 1533-position model. The record is from RNAcentral.